This 5913-nucleotide long non-coding RNA is filed under the name Homo sapiens (human). Its description in RNAcentral is "HSALNT0338203". The record is from RNAcentral. Lineage: Eukaryota; Metazoa; Chordata; Mammalia; Primates; Hominidae.
AAGAGGACCCUCAGACGCCACACGGGGCUCGGUGGCAGGUCCCUCCCGAGGCCCUGCUUCCAAGGGAAUCGCAGAGAUACACAGGUGCCACCGGGGCUCGGCAGAACUGGGGUCUGCAGCUCCUUCCAGAAAGCACUUUGUAGGCAGCUGCUGUCUUCUCAAAGCUGCAUCUGGCCGCCCCUCCCACAGGGACACUGGGAGUGGUGGGGCCGCUGCAGCUGUCACUGAGUGCAGGGCGUGGAGCAUGAACCCUGGCGCCAGGCCAGCCUGGGCUAGGAUCCACCCUCUGUGGGCAGGCACCUGCAUCCCUGAGCCCAGGCCCCAGUCUGUCUAAUGGGGCAGCAGUGCCUUCCACGAUAGGUCGGCGGGAGAAUGGAGUGGAUGCUGCGCCGAAGCUGCCCGCAGGGGACACUCGGUGGAGACCUGGCCCGCAGUCAGGAGGAGCUCGCCCAGCCCGGCCCGGCACAUGCCCCGCCUUCCCGGCCUCCACAGCCAGUUCACCUCGGGCAGCCCACCCGCACCUACCACCCUGUUUGCCACUGGAGGGCUCUGAGGGCCGUGAUUCAAGGCAUCAUGAAUGACAAAGGGCUGGAGGGCUGCUGGGUGUGGCUCUCAGAGGUGACAGCACACUCAGGACUGGGUGUCCAGGGUGACUCUUCUAAGUGAUUGUUAGACCGUGUGAAAGGUAAACAAACAGGCUCAUGUCCUUCCACUAAGCAGAUCCUUAGUGGGAACCAUGUACUCAUCCACAUCCACCCACAGGGUGUGUGUGUCACCGAGCAGCUUGCAGGGCAGUUACUCCAGAGCCUCAUGGCGCUCCUUGCAGUCCCUGGGGUGUACUGAAUCAUAGGCUUUCUUGGCCUCUCAGAGGCACUUUUAAUAAUAGUCCACACACUAGGCCAUUUUGGAAGGAGAACCCCCAACCCCUUCCCUGGGCAGUUCAGGUGCCUCUGCUCUGUCCUCGGCCCCCUGCAGCCCAUUAACAAGCCUGGUCCGAAGCGUCACUUGUCGCGUGACUCUGCUGUUGGACAUCAGCCAAGAGAAGCCAUGGGGGCUCUCAGGGGAAGUCACAUCAUCAAGCAACUGAAGAACAAUCAACGUGUGUGCCAAGCACUCCUACCCUCAAGCAGUGAGAGCGAUCAGAUGGUGGAGGAGACAAGGAGAAAGACAUUUGCUAGGCCAAGAUUGUUUUAUUUGCACCUCUAGCAAGAAGAAAAAAGCACUCCCUUUUCUAGGAGCUUCCCAACUCAGAACUUCCCAUUCACUUUAUUUUAUUUUUUGAGACAGAGUCUCACUCUGUCGCACAGGCUGGAGUGCAAUGGCACGAUCUCCUCUCACUGCAACCUCCGCCUCCCGGGUUCAAGCAAUUUUCCCACCUCAGCCUCCUGAGUACCUGGGAUUACAGGCACCUGCCAUCAUGCCCAGCUAAUUUUUGUAGAGAUAGGGUUUUACCAUGUUGGCCAGGCUGGUAUUGAACUCCUGACCUCAGGUGAUCCUCCUGCCUCAGCCUCCCAAAGUGUUGGGAUUACAGGCGUGAGCCAUUGCGCCCAGCCCCAUUCACUUUAAAGUUUUCUUUGUCUGUGGUUUAAAACACUAAAUCUCAUCCCCUCCCCUCACUUAUGGCCCAUGACAUUGCCACAGGACCUCCCACUGACUAUCGGGGAGAGAACAGCACCGCCAGCUCUGGCCAGACUCCAGGCUCUGGCAGCAGAAUGUCCGUGGCCCAUCUUGGUUGUGGACCCGUUUUGUAAUAAAAUUUGCCCCGCAGGGAAAGGACUCGUGUUUUUUGUUUUUGUGUGUUACCGUGUGGCAUAGUAUAAAGUUGGAACUGGGAAAUGUAGUUAUUGAAUGAAGGAGAGUUGGUUUGUUUCCAGAAAGAAGCAUCAACCUACAAGCCAAGAGGAGAACGAGAUCCUAUUGAGAGGCGGCAGAUCCCCGGACGAACGCCCCCUGCAGCCCGCAACAAAGGCACUAGGGAGGAAGCGUGCGAAGGAGACGUCCACACAGCACGUCCGCUCAGCUUUCCCAGGGCCCAGGAGAAGAAAGAAGGGAGAAAAGAACGGGAGGAAGAACAGGAAAGAACGAAGAAUAGAAGAGAAAGUUGAGGAACAGAGAGGAAGAAGCGGCUCCUCUUAGUCAGCAAGUCUGGGCGGGGAGAGGCUCUGUGAGAAGCGCUCGCAAGCCUUGGUCUCAGCCCGCAGACACCACCCGAGUGCACGGCCAGGACUUGCAAAGGACUUACCAUGGGAGCCAAGCCUUGAGGCUCCCUGCUGCCCUUCUAAGGAGCAAUGCCCUUAUGGUUUAAGUGAAAAAACAAUUGCCAGUCCCCAAAAUGGUUCUUGUCCUUGAAGGCCAGAGCAGGAGAGCACAGUGUUUCCCACGGGCCACCAUGCCUGCACCCUGAACUCUGCACCCCACCCAGAGCUGCUCCCGACCUUGGCCUCCACAGGACGGCUCUGAAUGUAGCUGUCCUUCACUUAUUUCUCUUUAGAGACAGGGUCUUGCUCUGCUGCCCAGGCUGGAGUGCAGUGGUGCAAUCAUAGCUCACAGUAACCUUCAACUUCUAGGCUCAAGCAAUCCUCCCACUUCAGCUUCCCCAGUAGCUGGGACUACAGGUGUGUACCGCUAGGUGCAGCUAGUUUGUAAAAUUUUUUUGUAGAGACGGGUUCCCAUUAUGUUGCCCAGACUGGUCUCAAACCCCUGGCCUCAAGUGAUCCUCCAGCCUCAGCCUCCCAAAGUGCUUACUCCCAAAGGGAUUACUGGCAUGAGCCACUGUGCCCAGCCUCACCUAUUUCUUAAUUUGCACUAUUAAUGGCCAAGUUAUAGUCCCUUCUGCAAAUGUCAAAUUACAACCUGAAGAAGUACUUUAAGUUAGAAAUGAAAAGUUAGAAUCUGUUCACCCCAUACAAUUAAGAAACCGUGAUGGCUAUCGUGACCUCCCUGGAAAAAAGGGGGUUCUGAGGUUGUAGGUUCAGCCUCAGAGCGAGUUUACCUGGGAACUGCUUUUGUCCACAGAAGAUCACACAAGGGCAUGAAUGGUUUCUCAAAGCCUUCCAACAACACGAGUCCCAAAUGCUGACGAGCAAGAAAUACUGUGCAUUUUUCAUAAAGCUAAACUAGGUCCACUCAAAGGAUGGCCCUGUUUUCAGAGAUGGUGCCUUUCCCAUAUUAAAGAGUAUAACUGUGUCAGUGGUAGAUGGCGAGUUUCUCUUUAUUUAUGUCCAUGCUUGGAAAGACCAGAAUGUUGGCACACCUCUGUUGGCUGCCUGCCAUUCCCCUCCCAUUUUGCAGAAACUUUACUUGUCCAUGAAAUUGAAAAGUCAGAGAACUACUGCCCUAAAAUCCCAAGGUCAAAAUCAACAGAACUGUCUUUUGACAUACACCACACUUCUGACUGCAAGGUUGAUCAUUAAAAUGAAAUCCCACUUUGACAAACUGGGUCGGGCACCCAGAUUUGGGGCACGUAAAGCUUUAGAUCUAGGCUCCUAGCAAAAUAGGCUGAUACAGAAAGGAAUUGUCCCUUGAUGUCUAUUCACCACUCUGCUUGGAGAAACCAUGCACCACUUCCACUUGCUGCUCAGCGAUCUUCUCGGAAGGGCAAAGGGCCAGCCUCCCAGGCCUGCUCACAGACACAUACUGCUUAGAGAACUCGGUGUCGCCCCAGCCCUGCACGGAGAGAGAAAGGGCCUGGACUCCAGCACCUGGCUUUGAUCAGUGAGCUGGAAAACUGGGUAAAUCACUUCAUCUUUCGGACCUGAAUUUCCUCAUCAGUAGUGUAAGAGCUUUGGAGUAGAUGAUCACUUUGAGAACCCUACCAAGUUGAACACUAUCAUUUAAAUGUGAACAUAGUUUAGAGGAAAACACCCUAAGAGACUUUUAACAAGAAGGAGAUGUGCCUCUCAGCUUGGUUUACACGAUGACCACACUCUGCCUGAAUACAGGGGAGGAAGGGCCCGUUGAGAAAAAUCUCCUUUGCCUUGAUGGGCUUGAGGGCCCACGUUUAUUGUAGAUUUGUUUGUGUGGCUCUUUACAAAAGAGGCUCAUUUUCUAAACCUUUUCUUAGCAUACUCUGCUUUCGGCUAAAAGUAACAUUUUCGGCUGGGCACGGUGGCUCACGCCUGUAAUCCCAGCACUUUGGGAGGCCGAGGAGGGCAGAUCACAAGACCUUGUGAGAUCGAGACCAUCCUGGCAAACACGGUGAAACCCCGUCUCUACUAAACAUACAAAAAAAUUAGCCGGGCAUGGUGGCGGGUGCCUGUAGUCCCAGAUAUUUGGGAGGCUGAGGCAGGAGAAUGGCGUGAACCCAGGAGGCAGAGCUUGCAGUGAGCCGAGAUCGCGCCACUGCACUCCAGCCUGGGAGACAGAGUGAAACUCAGUCUCAAAAAAAAAAAAUAAAAAAAGUAACAUUUUAUAUGCUGCCUCAAUGCUUAGACCAGAAAACAGAGCAAGAAAAAUACUGCCUCAUGCAUGAAAACAGAAGGGGGAAAUUCAUAUGGUUUUCUGUUUCUCUGUCGGGGCACAUAUGUGCAUCGGUGCAGAACCUCGAUAACUUAGAAUCUUGUUGUUAAAAAGCUUCAGGCCUCAGACCAUCUCCAUCAAAGCCAUCUGCAUCAGAAGCAGUUUGCUGGAAGUACACAUUUCUAGGUUCUACCUCUAACCUGCAGAGACAGAAUCACUGGGGUUCGGGCCUGGGAAUCUGCACAACUCAUGCUCUAAUGACAAGGUAAAUGAGUCCAUACAUACAAUUUGUAAUUUGUGUAUUUGUAAGGGGAUACCAGAGAGCAAUGCCCAUAACCUACAUAGGAAAGAGGCCCACAUGCCAGCUCUGUGCAGUGAUGGUAUAAAGGCAUCAUCAGGGAAAAAAGGUAUCAGGAUCUUGAUUCCAAAAACUGAGCAAACUUACAAGAGCUUCUCUGCUAAAGGUGAUGGCAAGUCUUUUGGACUGAAAUUUGUCUAAAGGAGGCAAAUUUAGCUUAUCCAUCAUACUAGAGUCUGUUAAGAGUCUUGUGGACUAAAAUCCUAACACAUUCCCAAGUGUAGGUAGGGUUAAAGUUCUUAUUCAGCUGCAGAGGACAUCCUGCAAAGCUCUGGGUAAUUCUCUCCUUUGAGAAACAGAGAAAAACAGAACCCAUGAGAGCCAGCCCGCAUUUAUGGAGUUUGAGGAAAAGGUCAUCAGAAUCCUAUAGAAUAUAUCUGAUUCUAGGGAAUGACUUGUUUGGGUUUAAAACAUAUGGUGAAUCAGAAAUAAUUUUUUACUGGUUAAUGAGACCUGGCCAUAAAAAUGCUUUUCUCACCAAGGGGAAGCUAAGCUUCGCUCCUUCAUAAGAUCCAGUAGUUAUGAGACUCCCUUCCUUGCAUAUGCCUUUGGAGGAGAGAAACCAAUGAAAGCAAAGGCCUUGCUCAGAGAAAGGACAGAACAAGUAGGGGGACCCUGGAGAACUGGACCACAGACAGGAACAGGACAGGGGGCACCACAGCAGGUUCGAACCCAGCCAAGACCAAGGUGGAUCCUUGUAGGGCUUUAUCCUGCUUAUUCUGGAGAUGCUUUGAGAUCAGAUUGACAACCAAAUUGUUGAUCCAGAAGCAAUCAAGACCAUGUCCAUUGCUGCGGAGAACAUCCACCCCACAAGCACAUCCUGCCUUAGGACCAGAGGCAGGAAAAUACGAGCAGGGGCGAUUGGGGCCAUUACUUCUCCCUUGGUCCACUACACCUAGAGAAUAGCUUCAUUGUGUGUGUGUGAACCCUCCUUAAAAAAUAUUUUGUCAUGUUCUUCAUUGCCAAGAGAGGGUCAGCUCCAGACUCACUAAUAACUGGCUCUGUGAGAUCUCGCCCACCGGAGAAAGGCCUGCUACCACACAACACAGCCACACGGCGCACCCACAGCUGCAACGUGAAGGGACCCCUGGCACCCA